GGGUUGUGAGGUUAAGCGACUAAGCGUACACGGUGGAUGCCCUGGCAGUCAGAGGCGAUGAAGGGCGUGCUAAUCUGCGAUAAGCGCCGGUAAGGUGAUAUGAACCGUUAUAACCGGCGAUACCCGAAUGGGGAAACCCAGUGUGACUCGUCACACUAUCAUUAACUGAAUCCAUAGGUUAAUGAGGCGAACCGGGGGAACUGAAACAUCUAAGUACCCCGAGGAAAAGAAAUCAACCGAGAUUCCCCCAGUAGCGGCGAGCGAACGGGGAGGAGCCCAGAGCCUGAAUCAGCAUGUGUGUUAGUGGAAGCGUCUGGAAAGGCGCGCGAUACAGGGUGACAGCCCCGUACACAAAAGCGCAUGUGCUGUGAGCUCGAUGAGUAGGGCGGGACACGUGGUAUCCUGUCUGAAUAUGGGGGGACCAUCCUCCAAGGCUAAAUACUCCUGACUGACCGAUAGUGAACCAGUACCGUGAGGGAAAGGCGAAAAGAACCCCGGCGAGGGGAGUGAAAAAGAACCUGAAACCGUGUACGUACAAGCAGUGGGAGCCCCACCACUAAGCCAGUGGUGAACUCCACAUACGCAUCCUUUGCUGAGGAUACGGUUA
Molecule: ribosomal RNA, 607 nt
Filed under: Salmonella enterica subsp. enterica serovar Bovismorbificans
Lineage: Bacteria; Pseudomonadati; Pseudomonadota; Gammaproteobacteria; Enterobacterales; Enterobacteriaceae
Description: partial 23S ribosomal RNA
Rfam family: Bacterial large subunit ribosomal RNA
Source: RNAcentral